Molecule: ribosomal RNA, 549 nt
Filed under: uncultured Glomeromycotina
Lineage: Eukaryota; Fungi; Glomeromycota
Description: SSU rRNA
Rfam family: Eukaryotic small subunit ribosomal RNA
Source: RNAcentral
UUGGAGGGCAAGUCUGGUGCCAGCAGCCGCGGUAAUUCCAGCUCCAAUAGCGUAUAUUAAAGUUGUUGCAGUUAAAAAGCUCGUAGUUGAAUUUCGGGGUUAGUAGGUUGGUCAUGCCUCUGGUAUGUACUGGUCUCACUGAUUCCUCCUUCCUGAUGAACCGUAAUGCCAUUAAUUUGGUGUUGCGGGGAAUUUGGACUGUUACUUUGAAAAAAUUAGAGUGUUUAAAGCAGACUAACGCUUGAAUACAUUAGCAUGGAAUAGUGAAAUAGGACGUUCGAUCCUAUUUUGUUGGUUCCUAGGAUUGACGUAAUGAUUAAUAGGGAUAGUUGGGGGCAUUAGUAUUCAAUUGUCAGAGGUGAAAUUCUUGGAUUUAUUGAAGACUAACUACUGCGAAAGCAUUUGCCAAGGAUGUUUUCAUUAAUCAAGAACGAAAGUUAGGGGAUCGAAGACGAUCAGAUACCGUCGUAGUCUUAACCAUAAACUAUGCCGACUAGGGAUCGGAUGAUGUUAAUUUUUUAAUGACUCAUUCGGCGCCUUACGGGAAAC